GGGGCAUGGCGGCAGCCUACCAUGCAAGUCGAACGGUAGCACAGAGAGCUUGCUCUCGGGUGACGAGUGGCGGACGGGUGAGUAAUGUCUGGGAAACUGCCUGAUGGAGGGGGAUAACUACUGGAAACGGUAGCUAAUACCGCAUAAUGUCGCAAGACCAAAGAGGGGGACCUUCGGGCCUCUUGCCAUCAGAUGUGCCCAGAUGGGAUUAGCUAGUAGGUGGGGUAACGGCUCACCUAAGCAACGAUCCCUAGCUGGUCUGAAAGGAUGACCAGCCACACUGGAACUGAGACACGGUCCACACUCCUACGGGAGGCAGCAGUGGGGAAUAUUGCACAAUGGGCGCAAGCCUGAUGCAGCCAUGCCGCGUGUAUGAAGAAGGCCUUCGGGUUGUAAAGU
RNAcentral lists this ribosomal RNA (399 nucleotides) under Enterobacter cloacae. RNAcentral's name for it is "bacterial SSU rRNA". It matches the Rfam family "Bacterial small subunit ribosomal RNA", at positions 37 to 431 of the family's 1533-position model. Lineage: Bacteria; Pseudomonadati; Pseudomonadota; Gammaproteobacteria; Enterobacterales; Enterobacteriaceae. The record is from RNAcentral.